GCCUGCCCUAACCCCGUGCUCUUCGGCCCGCUCCUGUCCCCGUGCGGUGAUCCGUCUCCUCUCCACCCCUGCGAUGACCUAACCCAUAGCCCCUGCCCACCCCCUCCGCCGCCGGCGCCGGUGCCUCGAAGGUCAAGGGAAGACCCUCUACUCGGCCCCCAUCGCCGUCCGCGCCGCCGCCCUAUGCCGCCGCCACCACCGCCGUCCAAAUCGCCACCCCCAUAGCCGUCCAAACUGCUCUCGGCAACACCUCUCCAUCCCACGGCUGCCGAAGACAGGGAGGAGGACGAGGCUGGCUAGGCAGGGAGGCCGAGGGUGAAGUGCAGUGGGAGGCGCAUCGGUUAGUGCAGAGGGAGGUCUAUGGUCAGCUCAUUGGAAUCUCACAGGCCACCACGGGGAGAGCAAUCACGCAGGCACAUCAACCUCCCCCACCAGGUUUCUUACUGUGUGCGUGGAUGGGGCAUCGGAAGGAUAGAUGGCAGUACUCGUGUGGAUGCAACAACUGACUAUGUUGUGGUGUUCAGGAAGGAGCGCAGAUACAGCAGCUGUCCAUCUGCAACCGCGGCCACGGGUGCCUAAUCUAACGCGACCUCCUGUUUUGACAUCGUCCUUGGUAGCUGCAAGCGUGGAAACAACCUUGGCAGUGCAGCGGCAGCCAUGAGAUACUCAUUUUUGUCUGUAGCUACACAAUCCAACUACUCAAAGGAACAUACAGUUCUAGAAGUGAGAACUGUUGAGCUAUUAUAGUGCAGCCUUGGGAUGAUAGAUGUUCAGGCCAGCUAUGCAGACCUUAAGGUAAAUGUUUUUCCAGCUAAUUAACAUGAAAUGUCUUGUAACUUGAACUAAUAAUGAACAACUGAGGAAUGCUUCCUGAAUGAAUCCAAAAUUGUUGGAAACACCACCGUCCAGUUGGAGAGGGAGCUAUCUGGAUCUCUAUCCAACCAGGACAUGUCUGCUUACAACUUUUUGUUGAAAAAGGUUGCGAAAAAAAAUCUAAAUCUGGAGGUAGGUGAUCCCAACUCACAACUAUGGAUAGCAAAAGGAAGAUGCAGUACUUGAUGUGAAAAUUUACAGGAAUAGAUAAUCUAACUUACAAUUAAUAAGCUUAUACUAUUAUUGUUGAUGCAAUACUAAUUUUACACGUUUUUUCAGUUGUAAAUACAAUAUGAAAUAAAAAGUUAUUCACAGGACCAUGGGUGUUUGUUAGUUUGUAUAAUCACACAAAUAAAAUAAGAGUUAAUUUGUCUAUGUAUGGUUUGUAUCCUGUUAUUUGCUACAAUAUUUAGCAAGUGUGCAAGCUAUUUAUGUGAGGUUAACUACGGACCUAUAAGCGAAGGAGUUUUUCUUCUCUACACAAGUAAGGUGUAAGCCAGCGAUCUUGGUUAUAUAGUUGACUUAAAUCCUGAAGGGACGAGCCUGCAUCUUUUCUUUCUGAUUUGAAAUGUAUUCAAAAUUCUUAUGCCCUGGUGUGCUCUAAUUCUUGGUAGUAUGUUCUCACAUGAACAGUCAUUUGAACAUUCAUCUAACUUUCUGCUUAAUAAAUUUGUAGCUGAGAUGAUGUAGCCGAAGGCACACUUCGGUAUUGUUUUAUUUCAGUCUUCCCUUAUCCUUUUUGUCUAAGAGAUAUUUCCCAGCAUGUCUGUCCAAACAUAUAUUACAGUUAUUACUAAGAAGGCUAUCCUCUUUUCUAUUUCAGCUCAAAGAUGGAUCGACCUGCGCAUUGUUGGGAUCUGUUUUAAUUGAAGUACUUCCUUCUACAGAAACAACUGGUACACAAGGAGCGUGUUUCCUUCUACAGAGGUAGCUGGUGCACAUGGAUGUAGUGAAACACGGUCAGAAACACUUGAGAUAUUAGCCGCAUAUAUUGAGAUAUUUCUCCUUUUAUUCUGGGUCCUGUAUCCUAAAAUAAGUAGCCAACUCAUUUAUACAUGGUGGUCAGGGCAAUGUGUAACGUCUACCUUUGGUAUUGUAUUAUUUUGUUCAAUGCAAUUCAUCAAAAUGACAAUGCAACAA
Long non-coding RNA from Triticum aestivum (bread wheat), 2013 nucleotides. RefSeq lists it as uncharacterized. The transcript is spliced from 4 exons. Lineage: Eukaryota; Viridiplantae; Streptophyta; Magnoliopsida; Poales; Poaceae. The record is from RefSeq and is a predicted model, not a curated record.